Molecule: long non-coding RNA, 1836 nt
Filed under: Nicotiana tabacum (common tobacco)
Lineage: Eukaryota; Viridiplantae; Streptophyta; Magnoliopsida; Solanales; Solanaceae
Description: long non-coding RNA (NTAB_LNC004216)
Source: RNAcentral
CCUCGUGCCCACCACAGCCAGUCGCUCACACCUCCUCACCGGUGCAUCAAUGCUCCUCCUUUGGAUGUGCCCGAACCAUCUGAGUCUUGCUUCCCGCAUCUUGUCCUCCAUGGAGCCACGCCCACUUUCUCUCGAAAAAUUAAUAGAAAUAACUGCUCAUUAUAAAUAAAAAAAUUUAAAUUGUCAGCUUUAUACUAAUUUUUUUCUCUUAGAGUAUGGGAAUAAGUGAAUUCAUUUGUCUAAUUUUCAAAAAGACAGUUGGAUAGUCAGUAAUUCACAAAUUAAAUCCUAAUAGUAACAUUAGUUCAAAUGUUAACAAGACAGCAAGAAAUUAGGCAAUUCCUAUUUCUCUGUUUAUUUUGAAAGCAAAACGCUUUAAUAAGCAGUUUUAGUUGAAUUUAACCUAACCCCAAUCAUAGAUAGUAAACCCGGGUUAAGUAUAAUGAACAAUGUCAAAGUUAGGCAACCACAGCACCUCCCGCUAUUUAUCUCUCUCUUCUUAUUUCUCCUAUAAAAAGGUUUCCUCCAUUGAAGCUUUAUCUCGGGCUCAAUUUCCUCCACCAUUUCCUUCAAUUUUCUGAAAGAGAAUCACAUACAUUGUACUGCUUUUGGAGACUCAGAAUUUUUGAGAUAUUUCUCCAAUGGCGGUCUCUUGGAGAUCAUGUCUAUCAUUGCUAGUUGUGAUAAUGCUAGCCAUCAAUAAUGUCACUGCCAGUACCAGGUAAUUGAGGUGGUUUCAUUGUUUCAGAAGCUCAUUUUCGGUAAUGUCAAAGCAAAUGAAUUGAUUUCGUUUUUUAUUGAAAUUCCACCUGAGGAAGUUCUGCAUUUGCUAGAUAAUUUCUGAAUUUGAGUGUGCUGAAUACUCUCAUCUGCUCUUUAACGACUCGAUUUCUGUUUCUCAACUAGUUCUUAUGAAUAGAAACAAUUAAGGAGCUAAACUCCACUAAUUACUAUUUGCUCAUUGGAUUUCGAUUUUCGUUUCAAUUGCAGUCCUGAAGAAGCAAAGCAAUUUCAGAGCUUAAACAUCUCGACAAUGGCGAACAGGUAGAUUUUCGAUAUUUUCUUUUUAGCUGUCACAUACCAUUUCAUAUUCUCUUCGUACACUAUACUGGUGCAUGUAGAAUCAGUUAAAAAUCAAUCCGCAUUCUAGAAUCUAAAACGCGAUAUUGAUCGCUCGCAUAGAUUGGAUCUGGAAAAUUUUGGUUCAAUAACUCCGUUAAGACUCAAGCCCGUUCGUCCAGUGACUCCAAAUUCCAUAGGACAAUAAUUGCGCACCAUAAAUGUUCUGCUCCACCGCCACAUUAGGCGCUAAAAUUCAUUAUCUGUGUACUUCUUCCACGUAUGAAUUUUCUUUUUUCAAUGUGUAUAGAAACAAAACUAUAUAUCAGAAGAGCUUUAGAAGAAUUAAAUUCCCUCAGUCCAAGUUGUGAUUGUCAAUGUAGAUUCAUCCAAGUCCUAAACGUCAUUCAAUUUGUUUAAUCAUUACAGGUUAAACGAAGAAAAUGUACCAAACCAUGAAAAACAUGCUGUUGAUGAUCCAGAUAUGGUUGCUUCCAUGGUAGACAUGUAAGUUCUCUCUGCUUUCUCUAUCAUCAAGAUGCUAAUAUUUAAUCACUAGUAUAAUAUUCAAAAAUUUUAAGUUCUAUUUUCCUAUCAGCAUUCAUGUGUUUACAGUUAAUGAACUGUACUAGGAUAUGAAAUAAUUCAACCCUCACAUGAUCCGUACAUACCACAAAAUGAAAUGCGUUCACAUGAGUUACUCUUUAAUGUACACAGCAUUUCCCACCUAACUUAAUUUUCACCAGUCCAAUUCCCGCUGCUUGCACUCCCUUCCCA